GAAAGGAUAAGGAAUUAGAAGAUGAUGUUUCUAAUAACGACAUGGGGCUGUUGUUGAUCUGAAGAGGAGAAUUAUUGUGGUCAGAUCUUAGGGUUUUGGACCAAUCUGUAUCAAGAUUGAAAAGUGAAGCUGGAUAGUUCAAUGACGGUGUUAAUGGUGGUUGGCGUGACAUGGGGUUGAAAUAAUUGGCAAAAGGGUCAAACAUGGAGCGGGUAGUUCAAUGAAGGUGUUAAUGGUGGUUGGCGUGAGAUGGGGUUAAAAUAAUUGGCAAAAGGAUCAAACAUGGAGGCAUUUUGUGUGUGAAAAUUAGCAGAAGAAAAAGAAUCAGCAGCAGCAGCACGUGAAUCGUACUCUUCAUCACCACCACCACUUGAUGACUGUAGACUUGCACUGUUGUUUCCAGAAUCCAUUUAAAAGAGGAUAACAGCUCAGAGAACAAAAGGAAUAACGAAAGAAGAAGAAACAACAAAGGACAGAGAUAUGGAGAGAGAGAAUUUUUUGUUGGUUUUAGUGCACAAAAGAUUUUGUUACUUACUGCAAAAAACCAAUUAAAGAAGAAGCCAAUCAGAUAUGUAUUUUCAGAAAAGUACCCUCCAAUAUGACUUCAAACCUCUGAUAAAACAUGAUGAUCUGCACAAAAGAAGAAGAAGAUGAUGAUGAUGCUACUAGUACAAUUACUCCUUUUUCCCAUGCUCUUUUUAAUUUGCCUCUGAGCCAGAACAAGUACUGUUACAAACGACACAAGAGAUGAGAUUAUCAUAAAGGUGAAAAAUAGAUGAGAUCAAUAAACCUCUGUUAUUUUUUUGCCUUCUAUAGGUACUGCGUGCUACAACUAGGGUUUUCAGCAGAGAGAAAUAAAGCAAAAAGAAAAAAAUGAGAGAAAGAAAGGGAGAAAUGAAGAAGAAGGUUUAAACCAAUAUUUAUCUCUCUGUAAAAGAAAAGAGCAAGUAGAAGAAGAAAAAAGAGAGGCGGCUUAAGAGUAGAUAUCUCAAUAGUUUCCACUCAAAGGAUAUUACAGAGUGGGGUAUGCCAUGCCAGGCGCUCUUCCUGAAAGGGACUGCUGUGUGUGUGCGAGAGAGAGAGAGAGAAUAGAGAGUUCUCUUUCUAUGGUUUUAGAUUUACAGUGUGAAAGGUUGCCUAUUGUUUUUGACAAGAAUUAAAAUCAGCCAACAUAAAGUUACUACGAAAAAGUCUAACGGAAGUAAUUGAAGUUAAAAGAUUUAAUUUUCUUAAUAAAUAUUUGGUCUUUUUUUUUUUACAUGAAAUAAUGAGGUAAGCAUGAAACCAAAUUAGAG
Molecule: long non-coding RNA, 1295 nt
Filed under: Nicotiana benthamiana
Lineage: Eukaryota; Viridiplantae; Streptophyta; Magnoliopsida; Solanales; Solanaceae
Description: long non-coding RNA (NBEN_LNC015978)
Source: RNAcentral